Molecule: ribosomal RNA, 204 nt
Filed under: uncultured bacterium
Lineage: Bacteria
Description: partial 16S ribosomal RNA
Rfam family: Bacterial small subunit ribosomal RNA
Source: RNAcentral
CGUGUAGGCGGGAAGGAAAGUCAGAUGUGAAAUCCCCAGGCUCAACCUGGGAACUGCAUUUGAAACUCCCUUUCUUGAGUACCGGAGAGGAAAGUGGAAUUCCUGGUGUAGAGGUGAAAUUCGUAGAUAUCAGGAGGAACACCAGUGGCGAAGGCGGCUUUCUGGACGGUAACUGACGCUGAGACGCGAAAGCGUGGGGAGAAC